This 251-nucleotide long non-coding RNA is filed under the name Cyanistes caeruleus (blue tit). RNAcentral's name for it is "lncRNA (ENSCCEG00000022806.1)". Lineage: Eukaryota; Metazoa; Chordata; Aves; Passeriformes; Paridae. The record is from RNAcentral.
CCCUGAUCGUUACAAUUCCCAUCUCUUCUGGACUUUUUAUCCUAAAUAGGUUUUUGCAGCAAAUCACCUCCUCCGCUAAUGUGUCACUGGGAGCCGCUCCGGAGAGCUGAGUCCCAGGAGGUUAGCGGAACCCUUCCUCAGUUUCUGCAUGCCUAUCUCAGAGCUUAUAAAGAGGUGGAGAAAUUACUAUGAAGGCCCCAGUGCAGAAUGCCUGAGAGCUGUGGCUGCUCCUUCAGGAGCCUCCCUGGCUG